CCUACGGGUGGCAGCAGUAGGGAAUAUUGGUCAAUGGGCGGAACCCUGAACCAGCGACGCCGCGUGAGUGAUGAAGGUUUUCGGUUUGUAAACCCCUUUUUGUAGAGAAGAAAAUGACGGUACCUGACCAAUAAGCCCCGGCUAACUACGUGCCAGCAGCCGCGGUAAUACGCAGGGGGCCAGCGUUAUCCGGAUUUACUGGGCGUAAAGGGAGCGUAGACGGUGUAGCAAGUCAGAUGUGAAAGGCUAGGGCCAAACCAUAGAACUGCAUUUGAAACUGUUGAACUGGAGUACGGGAGAGGUAGGUGGAAUUCCUGGUGUAGCGGUGAAAUGCGUAGAUAUUAAGAGGAACACUAAUUGCGAAGGCGGCUUACUAGACUAUAACUGACGUUGAUGCUCGAAAGCGUGGGGAGCAAACAGGAUUAGAUACCCGAGUAGUC
RNAcentral lists this ribosomal RNA (440 nucleotides) under uncultured bacterium. RNAcentral describes it as "partial 16S ribosomal RNA". It matches the Rfam family "Bacterial small subunit ribosomal RNA", at positions 338 to 795 of the family's 1533-position model. The record is from RNAcentral.